Pongo pygmaeus (Bornean orangutan) is the source of this 2150-nucleotide long non-coding RNA. RefSeq lists it as uncharacterized. The transcript is spliced from 3 exons. Lineage: Eukaryota; Metazoa; Chordata; Mammalia; Primates; Hominidae. The record is from RefSeq and is a predicted model, not a curated record.
GUUCUUGUUGCUUUGGAGACCACAGGAGAGGCAGUGGUGAUGGCCCAUCACUUGAGCCCUGUGGCAUCCCCACAGGAUCCAUGGGCAUCAAGUAAUUUCCCUGUGCUUCUCUGAAGAUAAACCGCUGCCUUCACCAGCCUAGCAGCUUCCAGAAGCUGUGGAUGAGAAGCAAUCUCCCACCAAAAGCCAGAGCUCACCUGCAAAGCUUCAAUCCCAAGCAGAAGGAAGCCUCCGUUUUUCUCCCCCAGAUAAGCCUGAAUUCACCUCCAGAAAGUCUCAAUGCAUCACACCAAGGGUCACACACCUGCUCAUGGUUCUUCUUGAGGCAAAGCAGCUCUUCCUUCAGGGACUCCAGCUGGGCCUCCAGGUCACACUUGGUGAGGGUGAGGUUGUCCAGCACCCUGCGCAGGCCACAGAUGUCAGCCUCCACCAGCUGGUGCAGCGAGCACUCUGUCUCGUACCUGUAACAGGAGUUACAGUUAGAGAGCAGGAAGGGGCACCAGGACAUGACUCCCAGCUCGCAGCUGUAAGUCCACUGGCCUGCCCUUUGCCAUCUAAUUGUGAGUUGGCUUAUCCUGUGUAGUGUGCUCAAAGCCCAGAAAGCAACAGGAUGUUCCCCACUCAGUCAAUACUAAGCACCUGAGAUGAACCAAGGGGAGCAGCUGGUACUGAGGAUACUGUGAUGGACACACAGCCAGCACCUGCCUUUACAGACAAUGGCCCAAAAGGGAGGAGGCAAAGUAACCAGGCAUUUGCAACACGGUGCAAUCACUGCAGACCCCUCUCUACAAGCCCCAUACCCAAAGGGACCCUGGAUUCCCUCUUAGAGUAAAAGCCACAUUGCCAGCGUGAGAGGAAGGAAAUGGCUUUCUUUAGCUCUAGAAGAGUGAGACUUGCACAGUGCCCUGAAGAAAGAUGAAAAAACACAAUGCCCCUUCCAGCACCCGGGGUAGACCCCCCUCAGGUGGUGUCAACCCUUUGACUUUCACAUGUUUUCGUCUUAGGCUAUGGAGCGUGAUUUCUGCUAUGAAUUAUCAGCACUCACAAAUUAAUCAAGCUGCAGCACAGAAACAUAUCCUUAUUAAGGCAACAGUUUCACAGGAAAUUGCUUCAAGAAAGGAAAAUUUGGUACAAAAUUUAAAGCCAAGUCCCAGCUCUGCCACUCAGUACCCACAUGGCUUCUGGCAAGUCACACCAGCACCCCAAGCCUCAGGGUCCCCACCUGUGGAGGAGAGGCUAUCCCUGCCCGCCUGCUUCACAAGUUGCUUACCAGGUGGAUGGUGCAUUCUAGCACAUGUUGUAAACUGUUAAUGCUAAACCACUGGAGAGUGGAUAGUUUUUCAGGAUCUUGAGCUUAAUGCCCUUUGUUCUCUCCUGCUGUAACUACUGGGUUGGCGUCGGGGUCAAUGACAUCCGAUGCCACAUGAGACAGAAGCAGCCAACUUGGCAUUGUCCCAUCCCCAUCCAACCCCAACUCUCACUUGGCUCCUUCCCAUCCCUGUCCAACCCCAACUCACUUGGUCCUGAAGUCAUCCGCAGCCAAUUUGGCAUUGUCUAUUUGCACAACCAGCCUAUUGUUCUCCGAUUUGGUGCACAGAAUCUGGGAUAAGAAAGUAGGCUCAGUAAGUGACUUACUGAUCCCAGAGACACCUAUAGCCUCGGGUGAGAGGAAGUUUUAUUGGCUGAAGUUGAAUCUACAGCAUCCGCCUGGACAACACAAACUCUCAAACAUGCAAGAGAUGCUUUUGUGGGUGUGGGAAGGAAGAUGUGCAAGAGACUUCUUGGAAAAGGAUGAAGACAUAGAGUCAAAGGAACCAGGAGAUGGAAGACAGUAGCAAACUGAACAUAUAACAAAGACUUGCUUUCAUUUUGCCAGAUAUGAUGCUUAGCCCAAUAUAAAUAAGAAGAUCUGGCCAGAUGCAGUGGCUCAUGCCUGUAAUCUCAGCACUUUGGGAGGCCAAGGCAGGUGGAUCACCUGAGAGAGCUGCAAAAAUUUUGAGGUGGAAGAAAGCUCACUGAGAGACCAGAAAAAGACUUCAUGGAGUAGGGGAUUUUCCAAAUAUGUUUUUAAUGAUAUUUUUUAUAAAGGGUUGGGGAGUGAGUUUCUCUCAUACAGAACAAAAUAAACACGAUCAAACAUUUGGAAAAUG